UCAUAUCAGAGAUUGCCACAGACACCCAGGGCAAUGUGAUUUGUCACUUAAAGAGGACGGCAGAUCAAGAGCAUCUCAUCCUCCGGCUGCUGAGUCAUCCUGCUCUGGCAGUUAUUUAAACAGAAGGCUCCAGGAGACAUACAAUCAACACUCCACUCAGACAAUGCCCAGACCUCCAGAAACCAUGUGUCAAGCUCGGAUUGCCUUAGACAGGUGCAAUUUAAGAACAGCUUUCAUCCUCUUUUCUCUCAUAUUGUCACACUAUGUGUUCUGACUUCUGGCUCCUUUCCUCACAAGAAGCUCACCCAGCUGGAACUCUUAUGGGACCUUGGCACCAGAGACCACAAAUUCCUCUUUGAAGUUUUCUAACAGCAACAAUGGUAUUUCUGACUUGGCUUUCUUGUAUUUCUCUCACGUUAACAAAAUUGGUUCAGCAUCUACCAUGGGCUACAUGCUGAGCUACAGAGUUUCGCUCUGUCGCCCAGGCUGGAGUGCAGUGGCGCGCGAUCUCGGUUCACUGCAAGCUCCACCUCCCGGGUUCACGCCAUUCUCCUGCCUCAGCCUCCUGAGUAGCUGGGACUACAGGCGCCCGCCACCACACCCAGGAAUCCAACUUGCUGUUUGCUAUCACAUGUGCUAUACAUGCUGUUGAUGAAACUGCUAAAGGGGCUGAAUGUGACUGACGUCUUUGGAAGGAUGAGACUUAGCGUGCCUGUACAGUUGUGUCCAAAUGCUGUCCUCAUCUCCCAAUGAAAAGGGUUUUUCCUUAAGCCUCACAACAAUUUACAGCAUUGCCAGCAGCAUUCAGUACAUUCAGAACAGGAUAAUUUCACCCGCAGCUGAACUAGGGCCAUGCCUGGGACAGACAGAGAAUGGCCUUCCAGCAGACAUGCCAAGAAGCAAGCCAGGGUCAGUGAGUGAAGAGGAGGGCAGGCCCAUUUGAAGCAACACAGUUUAUGUAAGUGUGAUCUAACUGCUUUCACUGGAAAUGGGUCAGACUCCAGUUGAGAGAACCAGGGGCCUGAAUGACCCCAGCAAAAUCACUGUGGCAAUUCUUUCAAUCACCUCUGAGAAUAUGGCCCUGUGACGACAUAAUGACGUUUGGAUUAAUUCCAGUCGGCUGUGUUUUCCCCUCCUUUCUUGCCUCCCCGUAGUUGAUUUGCCAAAUUUUUUUUGUUUGCUUAAAUACGCGGAACUAAACAGGAUACAUUAUAUGACAGUCUGUGAUAAAUUUACCACUGGGAAUAGGGAAAAAGUAUGGGAUAAAGAAAUAGGUAUUUUUCGCCUCUCACAGCUGUGAUUCAGUUCUGACUCAAAAGGAAGUGUGCCACCUACUGAAUCACAGAAACCACUUCCUGUGGCUGUUUGGUUUAUUCUGGAGGAGCAUCAGGCCAAGUGCUGCCCUGCCCUGACCCUGACUGGCUCUUCAGAGCCAAGGCAUUCACAGCUUGAGGUGGUUUGGCCUCAGACUCUUGAGAACAUUGCAUAUUAAAUUACAAGUGUUUCGUUUCCUAGCAAGGAGUCUUUAGCAACAUGAAAACGAACGUGUGUUAUUUGCAAACCAAGUAUAUCAUUACUGAACCUGAAUAUCCUUACUUUUUCAUAAGGUACGUAUUCCGGAUGACCACUCUUAAGAUCUGAAUGUACACUGGUUCUGUUUUUCCUGAGGGGAACUUGGGCAGUCUGCAGGGUGGCAUUUACCAGCUGAGGGACUUCAAGAGCACCCUUUAAUCAGUGUGGCAGCACUCAACUUGUAUUCACUCACUCAGAGUAUUUUUGAGCAUGUACUUAUUGCCAUGUGCUGUGCUAGGUAGGGGUAGAGGGUACAGUGGUGAACAAGACCCCACAGCUCCUGACCUCAUGGCUCAUGUGUUCUACACCAUAAGGGAAUCAAGCUGUGUCUCCCGGGGCAGGGGCCUUCCUCUGUUCACCAUGCAGCCCCAGCAUCUAGCACCUGGCGUUGCAUAAAGGAGGCUCUAAAUCAAGCUUGUCCAACCCAAGGCCCACGGGCCACAUGUGGCCCAGGAUGGCUUUGAAUGCAGCCAAACACAAAUUUGUAAACUUUCUUAAAACAUUAUAAGAUUUGUGUGUAUGUGUUUUAGUCCAUCAGCUAUUGUUAGUGUUCAUGUAUUUUAUGUGUGGCCCAAGACAAUUCUUCUAUGUGGCCCAAGGAAACCAAAGAUUGAACACUCCUGCUCUAAAUACUUGUUUGUUGAAUAGAUACAUGAAAAGAAAGAAGGAGAGAAGGAAGAAAGGAGGGCGGAAGGAAAGGAAGAAGGGAGAGAAGAAGAGAAGAAAGAAGCAGAGAAAGGAAGAGAAAAGAAAUUACGGCCAGUGCGGUGGCUCACGCCUGUAAUCCUAGCACUUUGGGAGGCCUAAGCGGGCUGAUCACCUGAGGUCAGGAGUUCGUAAGCCAGCCUGGCCAACAUGGUGAAACCCUAUCUCUACUAAAAAUACAAAAAUCAGCAGGGCAUGGUGGUGCGUGCCUGUAAUCCCAGCUACCUGGGAGGCUGAGGUAGGAGAAUCGCUGGAACCCGAGAGGCGGAGGCUGCAGUGAGUUGAGAUCAUGUCACUGCACUCCAGGCUGGGCAACAGAGUGAGACUCUGUCUCAGAAAAAAAAAAAAAGAAAGAAAGAAAGAAAGAAAGUUACCAUUAGUUUUUUGUUGUAUUUGCAAGCAAAGACAAAAGCACCAAGGUACUUGUUUCCUUCUGUAAUUAGAGUUUCAAAUAGACUAAAAGUUUCUGCUCUUAGGUGGGUCUAGAGACUCUCCAGUACCUCAGGACCUCAGGACACAUGGGGUCUCUUGGUUGUUUUCUUUUCAUUGUUGUUGUUUAUUUUAUUUUUGUUUUUAUUUUUUAACUUUAAAACAAUUUUUUGUAGAUGAAUAUGCUUACAUAUGUUUGGGGGUUUUUUUGAGACAGGGUCUUGCUCUGUUGCCCAGGCUGGAGAGCGGUGGUUUAACCACAGCUCACUGCAGCCUCGACCUCCCAAGGUAGGGACUGCAGGUGUGUACACUGGGGUGCACCACCACACCCAGCUAAUUUUUAAAUUUUUUUUUGUAGAUAUUGUCUCACUCUGUUGGCCAGACUGGUCUUGAAAUCCUGGGCUCGAGCAAUUCUCCUGCCUCGGCCUCGUAACGCGUUAGGAUUACAAGCGUGAACACCGCACCUGGCCAGCAUGUGGUCUCUUAACCAGAGGAGGCCUCUUCUGAACUAGGUAGAGGUCCUGAGAAUUGAUUCUGAGAGUAAAAGGCUCUUUGUUCUCCUCAGAGUAGAUUAGAAUCCCUAAUGAUAGAGCAUCUAUUAUUCCUCUAGUGGUCCAUGCCCAACAGAUUCAUCCAAGAAUAGAUGAAGAUCUUUGUAAUGUUGUGCAAGUAAUCUAAUCACCCCACAGAAGAGCUGUGACUUAAAUUAUCCCAGAGUCGGCCCACCUGUUUUCAUAAAGAUCAAUGUAACUUGUAAAUUUCUUCAGUUCUCCUCACCUAUCAUCAUUUGACUAACAAAACCCAGAAAACUAGGCUAGUUAUGGUGGCCUAUGCAUAUAAUCCCAACUCUUUGAGAGGCCAGGGUGGGUGGAUUGCUUGAGUCCAGGAAUUCGAGACCAGCCUGGGCAACAAAGGGAGACCCUGCCUAUAUCCCAGCUAUGCAGGAGGCGAGGCCAGAGGAUUGCCUGAGCCUCAGAGGUUGAGGCUGUAGUGAGCCAUGAUUGCCCCACUACACUCCAGCCUGGAUGACAGAGUGAGACCCUGCCUUAAAAAUAAUAAUAAUAGUAAUAAUAUUUCAUAAAGAUACAGGAAACUAGAUUAUAAUUGACAUUUUCAAAGUGAAAUACUGUCUAGAAUGGUGCUUGGCCAACAGUAAGCUUUUUGUAAGUGGAAGUCAUUACUACUACUAUUUCUUUCAUUAUUAUUACCAUUACUACUUUUUUUUACAAAAAAAAAACCCUGGACAACACACUGAAACCAUUACUACUUCUACUACUAUAACUUAGGUUGCACCUGAUAGAGCCAGCAAUUUUUCCAAGGUAUGACAAUGGCCAUAUGUUUAAUGAUAUAAUUCUAUGGCUCAGUGUAUCUCAGCCUUUUUAAACCCUGCUCUUCUUUUGACAAUUGUAAAAAUCUUAAACUGACCUCCAGUUGAAAUCCUCUGUCAAGAAGAUAUUGUCGGCCAGGGGCGGUGGCUCACACCUGUAAUCCCAGCACUUUUGGAGGCCGAGGUGGGAGGAUCACUUGAGGUUAGGAGUUCAAGACCAGCCUGGCCAACAUAGUGAAACCCCAUCUCUACUAAAAAUACAAAAAUUAGGCAGGCAUGGUGGUGUGUGCCUGUAAUCCCAGCUACUCAGGAGGCUGAGGUAGGAGAAUUGCUUGAACCUGGCAGGGCAGAGGUUGCAGCAAGCCGAGAUCACGCCACUGCUCUCCAGCCUGGGUGAGACUGUCUCAAAAAAAAAAAAAAAAAAGAAAGAAAGUAAGAAAAAGAAGAAAUCCCAAUCUCUUCUUUUAUGUGGAUUCUUCCUCACUUGAAUAAUACUUUUCUUCCCCAGUAUUCUCCAUAUUAUCCCAGAGUCAGCCCCUCUGUUUUUGUAAAGAUCUACGUAACCUCCUCUAAGUUUCCCAGUUCUCCUCACCUAUCAUAUCAUUUGGCUCAACAAAGGGCAGGAAGCUAGAUUCUAAUUGAUAUUUUGAGGCCGGGAGCAGUGGCUCAUGCCUGUAAUCACAGCACUUUGGGAGGCUGAGGCGGGCAGAUCACUGGAGGUCAGGAGUUCGAGACCAGCCUGGCCAAUAUGGUGAAACCUCGUCUCUACUAAAAAUACAAAAAAUUAGCCAGGCUUGGUGGCUUGUACCUGUAAUCCCAGCUACUCAGGAGGCUGAGGCAGGAGAAUAGCUUAAACCUGGGAGGAAGAGGUUGCAGUGAGCCGAGAUUGCUCAAUUGCACCCCAGCCUGGGUGACAGAGCAAAACUCCAUCUCAAAAACAAACAAACGAACAAACCUGAUAUUUUCAAAAUUGAGGCAAUUAUAACAGCUAUUUAGCCAAGCAUUAUGAUAGCAAUAAUAGCAAGAAAAUAAAUUAGUUAACAAAUGAGUCUCAGAAGCCCAAUGAUUUUUAUUUUAUUUUUAUUUUUUGAACUUUUAUUUUAGAAUCAGGGGAUACAUGUGCAGGUUUGUUACCCGGGUAUAUUGCAUGAUGCUGAGUUUUGGAGUAUGCAUGAAUCCAACCUGUCAUCCAGGUAGUGAGUAUAGUACCCAACAGAUAGUUUUUUUAACAUUUACUUCACUCCCUUCCCCAAUCUUGUAUUCCCCUGUGUCUACUGUUCCCAUUUUUAUGACUGUGCCAACAAUAAUUUUUUUUCUUUUUUCUUUAAAUAGAGAUGGGGGUCUCUAUUUAAAGAGCCUCCCAAAGUGCUAGGAUUACAGGUGUGAUCCAUUGCACCUGGCCCAUGCCAACAAUAUUUGAAACCCUUAUCUGCGUGUACAAGUUUGCUACUGGUUUUGUUUUGCUCAUUAAUACAUCCCAAGCAUCUAUACCUGGCUUGUAGUACCAGCAUGUAGUAGGUGCUUAAUAAAUAUUUAUUGAAUAAAUAAAUUAGUUUGACAUUAGUUUAACAUCUCAAGUAAAACAAAAUACCAUUCAAUUAAUUCUCUUCUUCUACUUUUUUCUUUUAAGAGAGACAAAUAGUCACACAUACAUCAGCAGGAGAGGAUACAAUUUCCUGUGUUUAAGUUUUUAUGAGUUACUUUAGUUCAAAUGUCACAGAAAAUUAUAUUGAACUCUUGACCAAUCUAUCUAUUUUUUCCAUUGGAGUAUUGACCCAAAUAAGAAAUAGCAUAAAGGAAAAAUUAUUUUUUGGCAGAAAAAUAUUCUCUCUAAAUUCUUGUGUGUUUUGUUUUGAUUUUUUCCUUAGUGACUGGAGGCCAGUUUCAAUCCACUGAAGCACAGAUUCCAAAUUUUCAAUCUGGUUUUCUUGAGUAGUGACUGAGUGCCAAAAAUGAAGCAAUGACACAACAUCACCAUCAAGACACUCCCCAGCACGCACACACAUGCCAGAGUCCAACACCAAGAUACUCCCCAGCACGCACACACACGCCAGAGUCCAGGCCAUAUUCGGGUGGCUUGCAAGCUUCUUCCCCCCAAGUAUUUACUCUCAAAAUAAUGGUUUUUGUUUUGUUUUGGUUUGGUUUGGUUUGUUUUUUUCCAAAUACAUUUCUUCCCUAUAUCUUUAACCAAUUCUCAUAAAAUUUUGUCUAAUACACUGGUCAGUGUAUUCCAGACCCUAAAAGAUAACAUAAUGAAACUAUCUAUGACUAAAAGGUAAUCAGGAUCUUCUACUUAUCCUUUUUUCCUCCCUCUUAAACUUUAAUUUUGAUACAUUUGGGAGUGAAAUGAUGACAAUAAAUGCAAAGUAAUUAUUGAAGAAACAGUAAUUUUGUAUUAGCUUACUGAAAAAAAAAAAAAAGAUAACCAAAUAUAUUUUGGCAGCCCCAAACGAGUCACAUGUGAAAUGCAGUGGGAGAGCAGUGUCCUGAAGGAAAAGGUGGCCUGCUGGACAGCCAAGAGAACAAACAUCCACUGCAAGUAAUAUGAGCUCUAAGUUUGGACUAGGCCUAUGUCUGCUCUGAGACUUGGGGCAAUUCACUUAAUCAGAGCCUUAAUCAGCUACGGACUAGCAAUAUCCAUACCCGCUACUUAUUUUGUAAAUCUCCUUUCUAAAGUUAACUCUAUUUAUUGUUCCAUAAUCCCAUAAAUUCUAGAAUCUUUUCCUGUUAUAGCCAAGUUGUCUAUCAUUGACAGAGAUAUUCACCUGGUUGUUUUGGCUUCUCUAAUCCUCCUGGUGAGAACACCUCCAAGGGAGCUUUCAGUGGCAUUUAAGGUCACUUGUGCUCUUGGUCCUAGAAACUGCCUUGAUAGUGGUUUUAGCUCACAUGAGGUAAGUCUUUAUUAUAUGCCCAACCUCUUUAUGCAUUACUUCAUUUAAUUGUAUACUAAUCCUUUGUCAUAGGUUAUCAGAGUGUUUGAUUAUAAGUUACAGGAAGAAAAAAAAAAACAAACUCCAAUUGACUAAAACAAUGGGGCAUUUUUUGACUCACAUAACAGAGAGUCUAGAGAGAAGGCACCUUCAGGUUUGGCUGAUGAAUCCUGUAUCUCUGCCUUGUCUCCAGGCCCCCAGGUUCUGCCUCUGUCCUGACAUCCAGUGUUGGAUUCCUCUUCACAUCAACUCCUCUCUGUAGGUUGGGCCAUCAGACCCUACCUCCUUAUUUAUGUUGAGCAAAGGAGAGAGAAUGCCUCUACAAACAAUGAAAAAAGUGAAAAAAAAAAUCUUUCUCCUCCUUAUAACUUUAGUUAGCUUAACUUUAGUCAGUUGCUUAGCUACUAAACAGUAGCUAUUGGGAGGUGGGAAGGAAUACUAUUGUGUAAUCAACUAAGGCUCAUACAGAGGAUUAGGGUUAUCUGAAUUGAUUUGAAUUAAUUAGAAUUUACUCUCAGAGCUGUGGCAAUUCCUUGAACCACACUGAUUGCUAUAAAGUGGAAGAGGAAUAGAUUGAAUUUUGGGGAGUCAACUACAAUGUGUACUACAGGUAAAUACUAUGAAUUUCCAAUUCACAGAUGAGAAAACUGAGGCAUGUGGUGGGAGGGAGGUUAUGUAAUUUGCCCAGUGUCACAGUUGAACCUAGGCAAAGGCCUAUCUCCAGGUCUAAACAAUUCAGUGGCCUCCUGUGUACAUUUCUGUCUCUCCUUUUUUAUCCACUGUGUCACCGAGGCUGGAUUGCAGUGGCUCGAUCAUGGAGAUCAUGGCUUUCUGUAGCCUUGAACUCCUGGGCUCAAGUGAUCCUCCUGCCUCAGCUUCCUGAGUGGCUGGGACUACAGGCUUGACAACACACCCGGCUAUCCCGUGUAUAUUUCUUGAGGGCUUAUGAUAUAUAAGAGAAACUCCAAAAUAAGAGGACGGUGUGCUAAGGGGAAGACCAAAGCACUAUCAAGAGGUAGAUUCAAUCGUACCCCUUCUAUUUACUAGUUGUGUGACUCUUUUGAAAAUGAGAAUAAUAGGCCAGGCUCGGUGGCUCCUGCCUGUAAUCCCAGCACUUUGGGAGGCUGAGGCAGGUAGAUCACCUGAGGUUAGAAGUUCAAGACCAGCCUAGCCAACAUGGCAAAACCCCAUCUCUAUUAAAAAUACAAAAAUUAGCCGGGAAUGGCAGCAUGUGCCUGUAGUUCCGGCUACUCAGGAGGCUGAGGCAGGAGAAUCACUUGAACCCAGGAGGCAGAGGUUGCAGUGAGCCGAGAUUGCGCUACUGCACUUCAGCCUGGGUGACAGCGAGACUCCAUCUCAAAAAAAAAAAAAAAGGAAGAAAAGAAAAGAAAAUGGGAAUAAUAAAACUUACUUACUGGAGCAGUAGCAAAGAUUAAAAUUUAGACCAUGCAGAAGAAUGUUUUUCAAAAUGACAUGACCUGGUAAUAGGAUAGAAAUGCAAAUUCCUGUUACUGCACCAGACCCACCAAAUAAGAAACUCUGGGGAUGGGACCCAGGACUAAGUACUUUAAUAAGCACUCCAGGUGAUUCUAAUGAUUGUUAAAGUUUGAGAACCACUGGUCUAACACAUUGCCUGGUACAUAAGCUCUUAUUUUGUUGUUAUUGUUCUAAGGACAAUGUGUGUAUUGACUUCUAUUUCCAGGAGUUCAUGACUUGGAGAACUAGGGAAAGGAAGACAAAAAUUCUUUAAUGCAGAACGAUACUGAUUGAUAAAUACCUGAAUAUAAUACAGGUUAAAUGUGCUUUGAAGAUUUAUAAAAGGUUGAAUUUAUUUCCAGCAAGAUGACUCUCAGAAGCCUUUAUAGAUUAGAGAAGAAAUGGAAAGGGGUAAAAAUAAUUAGGAACUAUAAAGCAGGGCAGACAAGUUUUCAAUGGUUACUGCCAAUGUGUAUACAGAAAGUUAGCUUGGCCAGGCAAAGUGGCUCAUGCUUGUAAUAUCAGCACUUUGGGAGGCCAAGGCGGGCAGGUCACCUGAGAUCAGGAGUUUGAGACCAGCCUGACCAACAUGGUGAAACUCUAUCUCUACUAAAAAUACACAAUUAGCCCAGCAUGGUAGAGCAUGCCUGUAAUCCCAGCUACUCAGGAGGCUGAGGCAGGAGAAUCGCUUGUACUUGGGAGGCAAAGGCUGCAGUGAGCUGAGAUCGUGCCAUUGCACUCCAUCCUGGGAAACAAGGGUGAAACUCCGUCUCCAGAAAAAAAAAAGUUACCUUGAAAUAUAUCAAUACAAACAAAUAAAUUAGAUAUUUCAUAUUGUACAGGAACAAAACCCAUCAGAAGAUGUCAGAAGAUAAGGAUUUUUGUCCUGAUGCUACACUUACCAGCUGUCCCUCAGUGUUCUACUUCUUAAAAAAAGAGAGGUUGGUCCUGAUCCCUGGUUCUUAACCAGGGGAAAAUGAAGUGGGGCCAGGGCAUGUGCAGACUUAAAAAUUACACAGGGGAAUGUAGGCACGAUCUGUUUAAGAAAUACUGGACUAAAUGGUCUCUAAUCUGUGAUUGUAGAUUAAAGAAUAAUCUACAAUCUACACCGUGUUGGCCAGGCACGGUGGCUCACACCUGUAAUUCCAGCACUUUGGGAGGCUGAGGUGUGUGGAUCACAUGAGGUCAGGAGUUCGAGACCAGCCUCACCAAUGUGGCAAAACCCCCUCUCUACUAAAAAUACGGAAAAUUAGCUGGGUGUGGUGGUGCAUGUCUGUAGUCCCAGCUACUCGGGAGGCUAAGGCAUGAGAAUUGCUUGAACCUGGGAGGUGGAGGUUGCAGUGAGCCAAAAUCACGCCACUGCACUCCAGCCUGGGUGACAGAGUGAGACUCUGUCUCAAAAAAAAAGAAAAAAUAAAUAAUCAAAUGUAAAGUUAGCACAUAAAGGAGGCAUGUACAUAUUAUUAAAAUCUAUAUGACUACCUCUCCUUUUUCAUUUUUGGCUCAAUAUCUGUAUCUGAACACCUAAUUAAUGAAAGGAAAACAUUUGUAAUAUGUAGCAACUAAAAUGUCACCUUCUCUGUGGGGAUCACAAAGUCCUUGGCAAUCACUUCCAUACCAGACAAGUGAGUAUUGUCCUUCUCCUUUUCCAGAUGGAUAAACAGAGGCAACCCGAGGAUAAAGGCCUUGCUCAGUGUCACACAUUUCAGUCACUAAAUAAGACACAAUGGAUGCCAGUAUUCUCAUCCCCUCACAAAUAAAGAGCCUUCAAGCUCUUGCAGUCAACAAGAACUUUUGGAAUGAUUUCACUGCCUGAAAAGGCAGAUACAUAGGUGACACCCACAAAUAGGAAGAAAAUCAACCUGAACCUGAGUGUGUGGGCUCACUGACUCUAAGCAGUAGAGACAGAAGAAAAAGUUUUAGCAAAGAAGGGUUCUGAAAGAAAAUAAAUAUAGCUCGUUAUCAAGUGCUGUUUUUACACAGUAAAACAUGGGCAAAAUUACUCUUCUUUAAGUAGUAAUUCUUAUCUCUUGAUUAAGUCACCUACUCAUUCAUUUAAUAAAUACAUACUGAUUGUUUUCUAUGUGUUGAGCACUCAUCUCUGUAUUGGAAAUAUAAUAAUGACCAAAGUUGACAAUAGUAAUAACAAUAAUAGCUAAUAUAGCAGGCACUAAUAAUUAUUUGUUGAGUAAUAUGUCAAAAUUCAGUGUGAACAGCAUUCUAUUUGGGGCUGCAUCCACUGACUAUAACACAGCUAAUCUAUCUGAAAUGUUCCAGCUUUGGGCCUCUCUAACAGAAGAAGCUGUUGUUGGGCCUGCCUCUAGUUGGCGAUGCAUCCACCAAUGAGAAUGAAUUUAUGAUCGACCACUCUUCCUGUAAAGGCCGCUGGAACUGACAGCAUUGUGAUUUUCUUUUACUGUUAGUUUUAAAUUACUAGAACCAACUCAAUUACUAGAACGAACUUUACUUCUUUGUUUCCUACUUAUCAAAACAGUAAAAACAACAAGUAAAAGAAAUGCCAUCUUAAUAUUGUUUUGAUGACAAAACAGUAUUCCUUUUAGUUGUGCUUCAAAUGGAAUAAGAUGCAAACAGGCUUGGUAUGGUGGCUCACCCCUGUAAUCCCAGCCCUUUGGGAGGCCAAGGUGGAAGGAUUGCUUGAGGCCAUGAGUUUGAGACCAGCCUGCGCAACAUAGCAAGACCGUGUCUCUACAAAAAAUAAAAAAUUAGCUGAGUGUAGUGGUGUGUGCUUGUGGUCCCAGCUACUUUUGAGGCUGAGGAGGGAGAAUCUCUUGAGCCCAGAAGGUCGAAGUUGCAGUGAGCCGUGAUCGUGCCAUUGCUCUCCAGCUUGGACAACAAAGCAAGACCCUAUGUCAAAAAAUAAAUAAAUAAAAGACAUAAACAUAUCUGAGAUUAACUUUCAGUGGUAAAUUUGUUCCAUAUAUGAUUUUUAAGGUUAAAUGCUUUGGAAGCUUUAAAAACCAUUUCAGCCCUUUUAAAUGCCAACUUACACUGAUGAUGCUCUCAGAUGUUAGGAAAUCUUUUGAGCAGAAAAUGGAAGUGGGGGUGUUGAGGCAGGGAGGAGAGUGAUGCAAUAUUCCUUAGUGUCAUCCUGUGAUUUCACAAUUUGUUUUUCAAUCUGUUUGGACUUUCAAAAGGGAAGACUCUCAUAUGUCAACAAGCCCAUGAACUGAAGCUUAAAACACUGGAAACAACAACUGUAGAGUUUCAAGUAUAUGUACAUUUAUGUAUUCAUGUUCCUUGAUGGGAAUGCUGGCUGGUGUGAAUGUUCAAUCUCCUGAGAAAUGUAAAUUUUUCUCUGACAGAUUUAUUAGCUUGCUGUAUCUGAGCACAUGAGCAAAAACAAUGCCUAAUAAGAAAACUUUCUCUCUCCUUCAAAGUCAAACUUGGGAGAAAUGAAGGGAAAUCGAGUUUUCUUUGCUUGACAGUGUUCAACAUUCUUGUAGUCAGUGUGCUCAUGAAGAUUGCAAACUUUUUUUUUUUUUUAGAGCAGCUAGGACUACAGGCGCGCACCACCACACCCAGCUAAUUUGUGUAUUUUUAGUAGAGAUGGGGUUUUAACUAUGUUGGCCAAGCUUGUCUCAAACUCCUGACCUCAAGUGAUCCAUUCGACAGCUCUUUCUUUUUUUUUUUUUUUUUUGAGACAAAGUCUCGCUCUGUCACCCAGGCUGGAGUGCAGUGGUAUGAUCUCAGCUCACUGCAACCUCCGCCUCCUGGGUUCAAGCAAUUCUCAUGCCUUAGCCUCCCGAAU
This 12208-nucleotide long non-coding RNA is filed under the name Homo sapiens (human). Its description in RNAcentral is "HSALNT0091307". Lineage: Eukaryota; Metazoa; Chordata; Mammalia; Primates; Hominidae. The record is from RNAcentral.